RNAcentral lists this ribosomal RNA (495 nucleotides) under uncultured soil bacterium. RNAcentral's name for it is "bacterial SSU rRNA". It matches the Rfam family "Bacterial small subunit ribosomal RNA", at positions 26 to 513 of the family's 1533-position model. The record is from RNAcentral.
AGGAUGAACGCUAGCGGCAGGCCUAACACAUGCAAGUCGAGGGGCAGCGAGUCUAGCUUGCUAGAUGUCGGCGACCGGCGCACGGGUGAGCAACGCGUAUGGAACCUGCCCUUUACAGGGGAAUAGCCCAGGGAAACUUGGAUUAAUGCCCCGUGGUACCGUUAUGCAGCAUUGCAUUUCGGUUAAAGCCUUCGGGCGGUAAGGGAUGGCCAUGCGUACCAUUAGCUCGAUGGUGGGGUAACGGCCCACCAUGGCUACGAUGGUUAGGGGCCCUGAGAGGGGGAUCCCCCACACUGGUACUGAGACACGGACCAGACUCCUACGGGAGGCAGCAGUGAGGAAUAUUGGACAAUGGGCGCGAGCCUGAUCCAGCCAUGCCGCGUGCGGGAAGAAGGCCCUAGGGUCGUAAACCGCUUUUAGGACGGAAGAACCGGGGUACGUGUACCCCCUGACCGGUACCGUAAGAAUAAGGACCGGCUAACGUCCGUGCCAGCA